CCUAACUCUCCCACGGAGUACUGUACUUUGUACCCCUUGCUUCCAUUCUCUCAAGGUAACAAUACCAGUUACAAUCCAACACAUGUUCCCUCUUCUCACGUUUUUACACCAGCGCAUUUAGGUCCCCCGUGCAUUAGGAAGGAUAUAAAUGAAGCUAAUGCUACCCAAAACUCACAGUAGUUUGUGAAGUUAAUUAGGGUCAGUCCUCCU
Molecule: non-coding RNA, 210 nt
Organism: Pelobates cultripes (western spadefoot toad)
Lineage: Eukaryota; Metazoa; Chordata; Amphibia; Anura; Pelobatidae
Source: the annotation of a GenBank genome assembly